CUGCUUUCUACCCUCCUUCCCAAAUGCUGUGAGAAUGAGGAAUGACCCAGCAGGUGCCUGUGCAGCUCCAGUUCGUGGCCUCGCUGGUUCCUGGGUGUGUGGGUCUCCCUCUACGAAAGUAUCCCUUCGGGGUCUUUCAUUUGGGGGCUCGUCCGGGAUCGAGACCCGCCCAGGGACCACCGACCCACGUCUGGGAGGUUUCUGCUUCUGACAGACAUCUGAGUACCAGUUGCUGACUUCAGACUGUUCUAAGUAGACUGCGAACCCUAGACUUGCUAUGGAUGUGAACCAGUCUGCUGAUAUGGACACCCCCUAUCUCUGCAACAGUGUCUGCUAACCAGAAGCCCCUGAUGGAUUCCCC
This 361-nucleotide long non-coding RNA is filed under the name Cricetulus griseus (Chinese hamster). RNAcentral's name for it is "lncRNA (ENSCGRG00015036167.1)". The record is from RNAcentral. Lineage: Eukaryota; Metazoa; Chordata; Mammalia; Rodentia; Cricetidae.